GCCAGCUGCAGGCAGCUAUCUAGGUUGCCUUGUACCUAGGCAAACGUUACACUGCUGGGAGAAAAAUAGCCAGUAGCUGGCAGGCCUUCUAUGCCUGGUUAAUGCCAAAUUCGUGCUAACUAU
RNAcentral lists this small nucleolar RNA (123 nucleotides) under Ochotona princeps (American pika). Its description in RNAcentral is "Small nucleolar RNA SNORA74 (ENSOPRG00000022535.1)". The record is from RNAcentral. Lineage: Eukaryota; Metazoa; Chordata; Mammalia; Lagomorpha; Ochotonidae.